AUGAGGAUCACGGUGUGGAACUGCCGGGGGUUGGGGAACGGCCCGGUAGUGAGAGGGCUUCUGGAUGUGCAGAAGCAGGAGGACCCCGACCUUCUCUUUUUAUCAGAAACCAAACUUGAUAAAAGGAGAAUGGAAAGUCUCAAAUGGAAGUUGGGAAUGAGUAACUUGGUGGCAAGGGACUGUGAAGGAAAAAGUGGCGGGUUAGCAUUAUUGUGGAAGAAGGAAAUAAAGGUAGAGCUCCACAAUUAUUCCAGAUACCAUACUGAUGUGGAGAUAACUGAGGAAGACGGAUUUAGAUGGAGAUUUACUGGAAUAUAUGGAGAACCAACAAGUGAGAGAAGGAAUGUAACAUGGAAACUACUAAGCAUCCUAAAUCAACAGCUCACUCUACCAUGGUUGUGUGCAGGAGACUUCAACGAAAUCAUGUACCUCCAUGAGAAGAUAGGAGGGCCAGAGAGAUCACAAUCAGCAAUGGAGAAAUUCAGAUUCGCACUAGCUGACUACGGCCUCCGAGACUUAGGCUACACAGGGGAUAAGUUUACCUGGCGAAACCAUAGUCACACAGUAAAGAAAUAUAUCAAAGAAAGAUUAGACAGAGCAGUGGGUAACCAAAGAUGGUGUCAACGCUUUCCCGCAUAUAAAAUAGUGAAUGGAGACCCGAGGCACUCAGAUCACCAUCCGGUCACCAUAUGGGUAUAA
Molecule: ribosomal RNA, 699 nt
Filed under: Triticum aestivum (bread wheat)
Lineage: Eukaryota; Viridiplantae; Streptophyta; Magnoliopsida; Poales; Poaceae
Description: partial small subunit ribosomal RNA
Source: RNAcentral